UUUAUCCUUUCAACAGAAUGAUAACACUUGCUGUACCAGAACCCAGUAUCAGAAAAUUAAUCAUGAUACAUGUUUGUACAAAGGAAUAUAACUAUUGGGUGUACAUGCCAAAAGCCCCUUUAUAUGCAGAACAUUUUGGGCCAACUUAAGACUAAUUUAAGAUUAAUAAGGCGCGGAGACUGGCGGAAAGAGAGGACGCCAUAAUGGAAAUUUAGAGGAAGACUGAUCACAAUAACUGUCGACUGGAAUUGGAUGUCAUUGGGGCAAAAUUUUAGUGGAGCAGCCUUGGACGAUGAUUAAAUAAUGUAGCAAUGUCCUCCACUGCAACAUGGGAAGAAAAUAUAUGUGAAACCACUAUGAUAGAGUGGUAAAAUUGGAAAAUAUUGAAGAACACCAGUAGCUUCCCUACCACACACCUUGGAUAAGUAAUGCUCACCUAUUUUGUACAGUAGUUUUACAUUGGUCUUUGUAUUUCUAGCUGGCUAGGUAGCAUUAGGGUGUGUUCCACCUGUGGUCUAAAUUGAUGAGUUUUAAUAUUAAGAAUUUAGUUGAUGUGUUCACCAUAUGCUUUUAUAGUGUUGAUAUUAAUUGUAAUAGACCUUAACACAUUUUUUAGUCAAGUCAAGUGCAAUUCAUACAGUACAUGAAAAAUA
Cherax quadricarinatus is the source of this 653-nucleotide long non-coding RNA. RefSeq lists it as uncharacterized. NCBI's taxonomy places the organism in Eukaryota, Metazoa, Arthropoda, Malacostraca, Decapoda, Parastacidae. The record is from RefSeq and is a predicted model, not a curated record.